This 517-nucleotide ribosomal RNA is filed under the name uncultured fungus. RNAcentral's name for it is "SSU rRNA". It matches the Rfam family "Eukaryotic small subunit ribosomal RNA", at positions 214 to 731 of the family's 1831-position model. The record is from RNAcentral. Lineage: Eukaryota; Fungi.
AUUAAAAACCAAUGCCCUUCGGGGCUCUCUGGUGAUUCAUAAUAACUUCUCGAAUCGCACGGCCUUGCGCCGGCGAUGGUUCAUUCAAAUUUCUGCCCUAUCAACUUUCGACGGCUGGGUCUUGGCCAGCCGUGGUGACAACGGGUAACGGAGGGUUAGGGCUCGACCCCGGAGAAGGAGCCUGAGAAACGGCUACUACAUCCAAGGAAGGCAGCAGGCGCGCAAAUUACCCAAUCCCGACACGGGGAGGUAGUGACAAUAAAUACUGAUACAGGGCUCUUUCGGGUCUUGUAAUUGGAAUGAGUACAAUUUAAAUCCCUUAACGAGGAACAAUUGGAGGGCAAGCCUGGUGCCAGCAGCCGCGGUAAUUCCAGCUCCAAUAGCGUAUAUUAAAGUUGUUGAGGUUAAAAAGCUCGUAGUAGAACCUUGGGCCUAGCCGGCCGGUCCGCCUCACCGCGUGCACUGGCUCGGCUGGGUCUUUCCUUCUGGAGAACGCAUGCCCUUCACUGGGUGUGCC